CAAUAGCGUAUAUUAAAGUGGUUGCAGUUAAAAAGCUCGUAGUUGGAUUUCUGGUUGAAGCGACCGGUCGGGCGUUGAUUCGUCUGCACUGGAGUCGGUUUUGGCCAUCCUCUAGGAAAGUGCGUCUGGUAUUAAGUUAUCGGGCGUAUGAUCCUGGUCUUUUACUGUGAAAAAAUUAGAGUGUUUAAAGCAGGCCUUCGCCUUGAAUACAUUAGCAUGGAAUAAUAAGAUAGGACUUUGGUCUAUUUUGUUGGUUUGCAGACCGAAGUAAUGAUUAAUAGGGAUAGUUGGGGGUAUUUAUAUUCCGAUGUCAGAGGUGAAAUUCUUAGAUUUUCGGAAGAUAAACUUAUGCGAAAGCAUUUACCAAGGAUGUUUUCAUUAA
Molecule: ribosomal RNA, 382 nt
Filed under: uncultured eukaryote
Lineage: Eukaryota
Description: partial 18S ribosomal RNA
Rfam family: Eukaryotic small subunit ribosomal RNA
Source: RNAcentral